Molecule: long non-coding RNA, 525 nt
Filed under: Helianthus annuus (common sunflower)
Lineage: Eukaryota; Viridiplantae; Streptophyta; Magnoliopsida; Asterales; Asteraceae
Description: sRNA HanXRQr2_Chr10g0437841
Source: RNAcentral
GUAACCCUAAUUUUCGGCCGUUUCUUCGUUACACAACCAGUAAGGAACGUUGAUGAUGGACGGUAGGAGGGUGAUCGGAGAUUACGGAUGAGCGACGGUGGAGCGAUGGUGAUAAUGGAGAACGACAACAGGUAGUGAUGGUCGGAGGAACGACGGUUAACGGAGGACAACCGGAGUUGCAGGUUACGGUGGAGCGAUGCGGGGUAACCGGAGUUGCAGGCUACGGUGAUGAAGAUGAUCGGAGGAGCGAUGGAUGAACAAAGGAGGUGACCGGAGAUAGUUGCAGGUUGGAACCGUUGUCGAAGAAACGAGAUGAGUCGAAACCACGGUUGCGACUGUGAUGAAGAUGAACGCCGUGAAGAGUCGAGAUCUCGGUUGCGACUCGGAACUGCGGUUGCGAGUCAGACAAUUUGAACAAUGAGGUUGCGACAAGCCGUGAAGUCGAGACCUUGAAACUGUGGUUAUCGUUGAAUGAUAGCCGAUGAUGAUGAAGACAAUGUUGUCAACCGGAGAUGAUGAAGAUGA